RNAcentral lists this long non-coding RNA (227 nucleotides) under Coffea arabica (coffee). RNAcentral describes it as "long non-coding RNA (CARA_LNC007841)". Lineage: Eukaryota; Viridiplantae; Streptophyta; Magnoliopsida; Gentianales; Rubiaceae. The record is from RNAcentral.
GAAUACAUAAACUACCAACACCCAAAGUACAAUAAAUUAUAACACUCUCAAUGCAAUUCUCCACCUAAUUUUCCAUCCUAUCAACUUUAAAAAAUUAAUAUAUAUUCCAUUAAUUUAAAUAAUAUUUACUUAUCACUAAAUUAAAAUAAAAAAAAACAAAAUUUUUUGAAACCAAUACUAUCCAUCAAAUCUGUAGAUCGUAUUAAUUUUAAAAAACACAAUACAAA